GGGCGGUGAAUCGUUGGUGGUUUUCGACAAUGUCCUAUCCGAGAGAAUAGUCAUAAAAGAGACAGAGAUUCGACCUUGGGACAUGAUCGCAUCGAUGUAAACGGUGACCAAGCCCCGGGAGAGGAGGUCAGAACCUA
Non-coding RNA from Caenorhabditis elegans, 137 nucleotides. Lineage: Eukaryota; Metazoa; Nematoda; Chromadorea; Rhabditida; Rhabditidae. The record is from Ensembl.